UCUUGAUUCUGGAGAGUUGGAUUAAAAGUAAGAAUCCAAGAGAGAGAUAUCUAAACUGCGAAACUCGUCUUCAGUAAUCCAAGUGGUAUUGGAAUUGGAUUGUCCAUGCUACUUGUCAAUAAAUCUUUGAAAACUACCGUGAGAGGAAGUAAAAAACUCAUUAUCUAUCAUAGUUUCAAUGGAAUCUCGUUGUUAGGGAAGAGAGGACUUUGGAGCAUGUUGACUUAUAGAAGCAGUAGAUGGUGAAGUUGGAGGCUUAAAAGUGCCUCAAUAAGGUG
This 278-nucleotide unclassified non-coding RNA is filed under the name Hevea brasiliensis (rubber tree). The record is from RNAcentral. Lineage: Eukaryota; Viridiplantae; Streptophyta; Magnoliopsida; Malpighiales; Euphorbiaceae.